ACACACACACACACACACACACAUAUAUAUAUAUAUAUAUAUAUAUAUAUAUAUAUAUAUAUAUAUAUAUACGUAUAUAAUAUGUACAAUUGCCAGUAUCUAAAACAACCCGAUCCCCGGGAGAGAGAUACAGAGAGACCUGCAAGUCCUGCAGGCCUACAGCAGAACAGAUUAGCCAAUACUAACAUCGAAUUGCAGCCAUUUAUUUUACCGUCUGUGUUAUUGGUUUAUUUUCUAGUGACAACCAUUGUUAACGUAUUGCUCCCCAUGUCGGUUUUGAUAGCAUCUUGGUCUGAAAUGUCAGAUUUAGCUAAACACUGAUUCUUAUCUCCAGUCCUAGGGCGAGUUUGAAGGACACACCAUGUAGGCCAAUUGUGGAAAAAAUGAAGCCUCGUGUUCAGAAAUGGAGUCCAAAACACAUCAUUAAUGGGUAUAUGAAGACAUUUUGAUCCUCACAGAUGUCUUGACACAAUGAGGGCAUGUGAAGAUUCUUCAGUCCCGUGAUUGUGACGCAAGAAUCUAAUAAGGGACAGAUUUCCCCCUCAUGUUAUAAUAUUAACUGAUGCUUAUCUGGAGACUCCUGUGUGGAUAUUAAUAUGCUCCUGUCAGCCAGAUAUCUGUAAAUCACCUCCCUGUCAUGUCCUCUCAGAUUAGAUUAGACCGCACUGGUUUAACCCGCUCUGAUAACAUUUCUUCUAUAAGCAGACUAAUUCAUUUACUAAUUCAUUUUCCUGUAUGACUUAGUAAUAUUGCUAUUAGUAAUAGACUUAGUAAUAUUGCUUACACUAAACGUUUUUAUAAAUAUUAAAUAAAUAUUUUAUACUACAGCGCUAUAACAGCAGCCCUGACAGUAGUGCUGGCUGUAAUUCAAAUCACAGGUUUAUAAUAAUGCUAUUGUUCUGGUACGUUAUCAUUCUAUAGUAACAAUUCAUUCACAGGGACUUGUAUGGUGAACGCUCCAUAUAAUCCAAAGCUAAUAAUAAACAGCUUACACAAACAUGUUAUUUACCAAAGGGAAAACAGCUAACUCUUGAUAUUAUAAAACCUUCUGUUAGAAGCUGUUUAUUUAACAUUUAUGGAAAUAGUGUGCAGCGUCAGCCCUUUGUAAUGAUCAGUAUGUUUUCUGGCACAGGAAAGAGAGAUCUUUACACUUUGCGGUGUCGCAGUAACAUGACAAGCUCCAGUUUUUGUCUUAUUACUUCAAGAGAGAGGAAAAGACACGCUGAAACAAAUUCAUCAAAUAUGUGGAAAAAUUCCAAUCUAAUCCAUGUCAAGACAGUAUGUUGCAUCAAAUGCAGGACUAAGGACCAAAAGAAGAACCUUCUUCUCAUCAGUAUUUCAUCAGGACAGGGAUGCUGCAGAAUGAUGGAUUUCUAGGAGACACAGCAGCCCACAGGGCUAGAGCCACCUUCCUCCUGUUCCUGAUAAGAGCUGGCAUACUGGGCCAAAAGUGCCAGAAGUCCUGCUGCCCUCAAACAACCUAAUCUUAUCUCAGUCUUACUGCAGAGCCCUAGAUUCCCCCUAUAAUGCCCCGCGCCAGGCGAUGCCCUUGAGGAAAGCCGCUCGGACCAGACUGUCUUCUGAUUGGGUGUGAGUCUGUGGCCGUAACCAUGGCGACCGCCCACAGAGCACCUGGAGGAGUGACGCAGGCGUCGUCAUGGCUGCUGAAGGACGACGGGAGGAUGAUAACGAAGAGGAGCACGAGAUCUGGGAGAGAUGUUCCAUGAGGGAGGGGUGUGCCAGCUGUGGCCUCCACACAGACGCGUACACUAAAGCACCACACACAAAUAUUCCUUGAAGGAGUUGAAUAAGAUAGCCAUGGGAAUACUAUCCAGCCUCCCACCACUCCCUCCUUUGCCCUUCGUUUGACUGACUUUGAAAUCUCCCCUACAGCCAAAGUGAGACACGUGGGAGCAGUUCUAGUGUCAAACCACUCAUAAGAACAGAAGUAGGGCACAGCUUGACAUGUUUAUAUUCUGUGCAGCCCAUAUGCAUCAAACGUGUGUGAUCUAGCAUCUGACAUCCCCCGAGUCAUAAGUUCCGGUUUAAUUUUGUAAGGCAGAUAUAAUCGGCAUGAUAUAUGUGACAUGGGCAGCAGGACAUUAACUAGAAUUUUUUUCAAGUAGACAAAAUCUUUCAACCCUGGUCCUGAUAAAUAUAAAUAGCCAAUCUAUAUUUUCAUUUGGACUAUGUUCACUAUUUAUCAUUUAAAAUUGUAUGUUUCGGUGAUUUACACCAAAGAUUGCUAUGAUUAUAUGGUUUAGUAUCCAGCGCAGUACAGUACAGCUUAGAAAAACAAUGUACAAUGGAGCCUAGAUUGUAGAAUAUAAAGAAUAUAUGGUGUAACGCAGCUCAUACCACAGCUCAGCUGAAUUCUCAAAUCCGAUUAGUCUGAAGGUAUUUUCUAUAACAGCAGCUCUGACAGUAGGUCCUGCUGCAAGAUAAAUCACAGGUUUAUACUAAUGCUCUUGUUCUAAUAUGUAAUCAUUUCUAAAGUGACAACUUAUACAGAGAAUUGUAUGAUGGAUGCUUCACAUAAACGGAUUAAAAAUGUGCAUAGUUGUUGAUAUGGUGAGGUUUUCUGUGAAGAGAUGUUUCUUUAAUAUUUUGUAAGGAGUCUCCAGUGUCAGCACUUUGUCAGAAAUAAAGCUGUAACUUUAGGUUUUCAGACACAUGAAAGUCUACAUGACAGAGGUUUUUGCACUUUGCGGUUUGUCAAUAACAUGACUUUUUUUUGUCUUAUUAACUUCAAGAGAGAAGAAAACGAGAGGCUAAUUAGGGAGCAACUGUUUAAAGCAUAAGUGAUAAUAGGAACUAACUUGUUUUUGUGGACAAUCAACAACAUUAAACAUAUCUAUAAACAGUGUAAAAGUGCCAUUCUUUAUGAUGUAUUAUGAACACUAUAAUAUGUAUUAUAGAACUUGUAUUAUAUAUCUUAGAUAAUGGAAUAUGAAAUUUUCUGUAGUAGCACUGAGUAUGGAAGAUGAAUGUAUUUAGUACGUUAUAGCGUAGACUGUGAAAUAUGAAAUGUACCUAGCUUAGAAGGGCAGUGGUGGCUCAAUGGUUAAGGCUCUGGGUUACUGCUCAGAAGGUUGUGGUUCAAGCCCCAGCACUGACAAGCUGCCACUGUUGGGCCCUUGAGCAAGGCCCUUCACCCUCUCUGCUCCAGGGGUGCUGUAUCAUGUCUGACCCCAGCCUCCUAACAAGCUGGGAUACACAAAGAAAAGAAUUUCACUGUGCUGUAAUGUAUAUGUGACAAAAUAAAGGCUUCUUCUU
Pangasianodon hypophthalmus (striped catfish) is the source of this 3276-nucleotide long non-coding RNA. RefSeq lists it as uncharacterized. The transcript is spliced from 5 exons. Lineage: Eukaryota; Metazoa; Chordata; Actinopteri; Siluriformes; Pangasiidae. The record is from RefSeq and is a predicted model, not a curated record.